AGAGUGAAGUUCGUCGAUGUUCCUUGGGUCAUGUGCUUACAUUCCAACAUGCUCUCUCCUCUAAGAGUAGUUGAGGCCCAUUUGCACCACCUUUUUCCGCUGCCGUUUGUGAUUUUUUUUUUUGAUAUCUUCGAACUGUAUUUGUUAUGCUGACCCAAGGGGUUAUGCAAGUUUGUAAGUGCAAUUAAGUUCUAGAUGAUACGAUGUUAUAAAGUACUUUCGAUCUUGGUAUUACAUCUUGAAACUGUGUGUGCUAGUGAGUCGAUCCAGGGACUAGCACAAAUAAGCACAGAGAUCGAACCCUGUACAGGGGGGGAUCGCUUCAGAUGGUAUCAGAGCAAUGUGUUGCCUUUAGGAACGUGACCCUAGCUUGGAUUAGGAUAAGACUAAACCAAAAGACCAAACCUUAGGAUUAUUUCUUAUCCUAUCUGAUCUAUAUACAUACAUAUAUUUUACUCCUUAUCCCUAUUCAUCUAAAUCAUUGCAUUUAUAUCUUACAUAUGCAUGACACUUUUAUUGAUUUAUUCCACAUAUACACCAAAUACUAUGCCUUAUACCAUAGAUGCAUGUUUCUUUUAUUAUACCACAGAUGCAUAUUUAAUUUAUUAUAUCCUCCACCACUAUAAUCAUGUUACUAUGAUGUACACAUAUUAUUAUGCAUCCAAUUUUAUUUUGCAAAUCCACCAUUUAUUUUAAAUUGUAUCACUUUAUUCCCACUCUAUUACCUUUAUUUUAUUUUUACAUACAUCCGACCAUUUUGAUCAUGUCACUGAUACUCCCUUACCUUCCUUCUUGUUUUCUAUAGAUGGGAAGCCCAACACCGUUCGGUAACGUCCCACCGUUUACCCGAGUCUACUACCCCUCCACGGACGACGACCAGUUAUUCAGUGCCCCUUUGGCGGCACUGUGUGUGU
RNAcentral lists this long non-coding RNA (914 nucleotides) under Brachypodium distachyon (stiff brome). Its description in RNAcentral is "long non-coding RNA (BDIS_LNC001525)". The record is from RNAcentral. Lineage: Eukaryota; Viridiplantae; Streptophyta; Magnoliopsida; Poales; Poaceae.